RNAcentral lists this ribosomal RNA (783 nucleotides) under Staphylococcus sp. Y28-MSE-E14. RNAcentral describes it as "bacterial SSU rRNA". It matches the Rfam family "Bacterial small subunit ribosomal RNA", at positions 56 to 822 of the family's 1533-position model. The record is from RNAcentral. Lineage: Bacteria; Bacillati; Bacillota; Bacilli; Caryophanales; Staphylococcaceae.
UGCAAGUCGAGCGAACAGAUAAGGAGCUUGCUCCUUUGACGUUAGCGGCGGACGGGUGAGUAACACGUGGGUAACCUACCUAUAAGACUGGGAUAACUUCGGGAAACCGGAGCUAAUACCGGAUAAUAUUUCGAACCGCAUGGUUCGAUAGUGAAAGAUGGUUUUGCUAUCACUUAUAGAUGGACCCGCGCCGUAUUAGCUAGUUGGUAAGGUAACGGCUUACCAAGGCGACGAUACGUAGCCGACCUGAGAGGGUGAUCGGCCACACUGGAACUGAGACACGGUCCAGACUCCUACGGGAGGCAGCAGUAGGGAAUCUUCCGCAAUGGGCGAAAGCCUGACGGAGCAACGCCGCGUGAGUGAUGAAGGUCUUCGGAUCGUAAAACUCUGUUAUUAGGGAAGAACAUACGUGUAAGUAACUAUGCACGUCUUGACGGUACCUAAUCAGAAAGCCACGGCUAACUACGUGCCAGCAGCCGCGGUAAUACGUAGGUGGCAAGCGUUAUCCGGAAUUAUUGGGCGUAAAGCGCGCGUAGGCGGUUUUUUAAGUCUGAUGUGAAAGCCCACGGCUCAACCGUGGAGGGUCAUUGGAAACUGGAAAACUUGAGUGCAGAAGAGGAAAGUGGAAUUCCAUGUGUAGCGGUGAAAUGCGCAGAGAUAUGGAGGAACACCAGUGGCGAAGGCGACUUUCUGGUCUGUAACUGACGCUGAUGUGCGAAAGCGUGGGGAUCAAACAGGAUUAGAUACCCUGGUAGUCCACGCCGUAACGAUGAGUGCUAAGUG